UGGGAACCCUCCCUAUGGUUCGGAAUAGCUCAGGGAAACUUGAGGUAAUACCGGAUAAGCCCUUACGGGGAAAGAUUUAUCGCCAUUGGAUGGGCCCGCGUCGGAUUAGCUAGUUGGUGAGGUAACGGCUCACCAAGGCGACGACGGGUAGCCGGCCUGAGAGGGUGACCGGCCACACUGGGACUGAGACACGGCCCAGACUCCUACGGGAGGCAG
RNAcentral lists this ribosomal RNA (216 nucleotides) under uncultured bacterium. Its description in RNAcentral is "partial 16S ribosomal RNA". It matches the Rfam family "Bacterial small subunit ribosomal RNA", at positions 118 to 351 of the family's 1533-position model. The record is from RNAcentral.